This 253-nucleotide ribosomal RNA is filed under the name uncultured bacterium. RNAcentral's name for it is "partial 16S ribosomal RNA". It matches the Rfam family "Bacterial small subunit ribosomal RNA", at positions 524 to 776 of the family's 1533-position model. The record is from RNAcentral.
UACGUAGGGAGCAAGCGUUGUCCGGAAUCAUUGGGCGUAAAGCGCGCGUAGGCGGCCUCAUAAGUCCGUUGUGAAAGUCAAAGGCUCAACCUUUGAAAGCCGAUGGAUACUGUGAGGCUAGAGUCCGGAAGGGGCGAGUGGAAUUCCUGGUGUAGCGGUGGAAUGCGCAGAUAUCAGGAGGAACACCAAUAGCGAAGGCAGCUCGCUGGGACGGUACUGACGCUAAGGCGCGAAAGCGUGGGGAGCGAACAGG